ACAAAUAUAAUAUGUUAGAGCCAGUCCACACGGCGCGUUGUGUUACGUUGCGUCGUCUCAACGCAAACAUUUUGACGCAUAGUCAGCCA
Aricia agestis (brown argus) is the source of this 89-nucleotide long non-coding RNA. RefSeq lists it as uncharacterized. NCBI's taxonomy places the organism in Eukaryota, Metazoa, Arthropoda, Insecta, Lepidoptera, Lycaenidae. The transcript has 3 exons. The record is from RefSeq and is a predicted model, not a curated record.